Molecule: ribosomal RNA, 253 nt
Filed under: uncultured bacterium
Lineage: Bacteria
Description: partial 16S ribosomal RNA
Rfam family: Bacterial small subunit ribosomal RNA
Source: RNAcentral
UACGAAGGGGGCUAGCGUUGCUCGGAAUGACUGGGCGUAAAGGGCGCGUAGGCGGUUUGUACAGUCAGAUGUGAAAUUCCUGGGCUCAACCUGGGGGCUGCAUUUGAUACGUGCGGACUUGAGUGAGGAAGAGGGUCGUGGAAUUCCCAGUGUAGAGGUGAAAUUCGUAGAUAUUGGGAAGAACACCGGUGGCGAAGGCGGCGACCUGGUCCUUGACUGACGCUGAGGCGCGAAAGCGUGGGGAGCGAACAGG